Ictalurus furcatus (blue catfish) is the source of this 3051-nucleotide long non-coding RNA. RefSeq lists it as uncharacterized. Lineage: Eukaryota; Metazoa; Chordata; Actinopteri; Siluriformes; Ictaluridae. The transcript is spliced from 3 exons. The record is from RefSeq and is a predicted model, not a curated record.
CAGUAUGCUUCCUGAUAUUUUUAAUUAAAUAAAAAUUAUAAUAAUAAAUAGAAAAAACAGCUUUGUUAUAUCUGCCAUGUCAUUACAUAAUUAUCCUGUGCUUAUCUAUCUUUCUAUCUAUCUACCCAUCCACCUAUCCGUCUAUCUGUCAUCCACCCAUUUGUCUAAUUUACCUAUCUGUCAUACACCUAUCUGUCUAAUCUAUCGAUCAUUCACAAGCAUUUAUGAUCAAAUGAUUGUUUCAUUAAAACAAACUACACAGGAAAUAAUAACAGUCCAAAUGAAUGCACACUGUAAAUGAUUGAAACUUACACAUCAGUUAGUGUGAACAACCUUGCUGUUGAUAAUAAUGGGAAUUAUUAAAAUAAAACUUAGCUAACAUAACUCAAGGCAGUUUCCAAUAACUUGGGUAUUUUCCAUUUAUGCACAUUCUAUUUGAAAAGCAAUAAAAUACACAGAGUACCAAAAUGAUGCCCUAUCUGUGUUUUGCGCCCCGUUUCCGAUCUCUCCCUGGUUGAGAACCACUGGCCUAUUGGAAUGACACUGGACUUGAUAGAUUCCGUGAGUCAUGCCGAGAACAACGAUACCAUUGAUGCCCUGGUCAAUCGAACUUGCUGUCUGCCAUUUUGAAUUUCGUUGAAAACAUUCUUUUUUGAACUCCUUCUCCUUCGCUGGCCCGAUUUUCAUCAAAUUCGAUUCAGAUCAUCUUCAGACCAUGCCAGCAAAAAGUUAGGGUUCAUAUACUUAACUGUUAUAUACUUAAUUGUCUCUGCAAGGCUUUGGCAUAUUGACACCAAACUUUGUGUGUCAGUGAAACUGCACAGUGACCACAUCACAUCACAUUAAUUUGGUCACAGCGUCACCUAUUGAUCAAAUAUGAUAAGCAAUUAAAUCAUAUAACAAUUGAUUGUAUUUAUGAACGUUCAACCAUUUUGCCUAAAAUCAUACACAAAUGUCUAAAACUGCCUUUUUUUUUUACAGUUGGUCUUGAUGCUCCCUGCCAUGCUUGUUUAGCUCCUUGUUUAGCCUCUUCAGUGCUUGGCCCCUUAAUUGCUGCUUGCAGCUAUAUUUAUUAUUGUUAUUAUUAUUAUGGAUUAUUUGGAGUUGUUUGGGGAACAGUGACACAUGGCACUCUCACAUUCCUAAUAGAUUUAUCACUUAAGGUACGUUCACACAUAGAGCGACUCACAGCGACAAUGCGACCAGAGACGUUCAUUUUCAAUGAGAUCUGGCGACUUCCGGUGACAUGCGCGGCAGCGACCAUUGGCGACCGGAUGUGGGCGUGUCCAGCGACGCGACAAAGUUUAACUUUAUGCAAAUUUGGAGCGACUUGGUGCAGCGACUACCAAUGGGAGUGAAGAAGAGUGAGCACACACCACCCCUGCUCACUAGCAGAGGCAGCGCCAUUGUGGCAGUAGCCAAUUAGCUUAGCUAAGCUUAGGAUCUUAGUGGGUUUAAAGCAAAAAUGUUUUAUUAUUAAAUAAAUAAAUAAAUAAAUAACAAUGAAACAUUCACUUUUUGUUGAAAUUGAGCAAAAUCCCAGUGUAGCUCCUAUCUUUGGUGAAGUGUCCGGCUUGUCGCUGCUUCGGCGGCCGGGAACGAGCAGCACCAAGCCAGACACUUCACCCAGAAAACACGGAGGCCACAGCCAAAUAGCUGCAGUCCGGCUCCCGGUCACCAUCGAACACAUAGUGAAUGACAACCUGAUGGUGACACUCACUCACUGAGAUAGGAGCUACACCCGGGUUUUGCUCAAUUGCAACAAACAGUGAGAGUGUUUCAUUACUAUUAUUUUGCUUUAAACGUACUAAGGCCAUAAGCUAAGCUAAUUGGCGCUUGUGCUUUUGCCGCAGUUAGACGGCUGAUCACACACCGCUUCUCCUUCAUCUCGUAAGAUAUGAUGCAUAUAUACACUGGUGAAUUUUAUAUCCUCUCUCUCCAAAAUGUUUCAUUUCAGCAGCAAGAAAACUUGUUUGUUGUCAAAAGUGUUAGUUGUACCACGAAUGUUAGUUGUACCACCCAUGUUACUAUGGCAACCAGUAAUAGGAACGCCUAACUGCGACUUCAUAGUACAGUGACUGGUGACUUGCAGUGAUAAAAUUGCUGUAUGUGUGAAGGCAGCAUUAUGCAGCGCAGUGUCCGUCACAUAUUAGAAGAUCUUUACAGAGGAAGCUGACAGUCGCAUCAUUGACAUCACGUUUCGAGUUUCGUGCUCGGCCACGGUUAGCGAUCACACUAGAUGUGUAUCAUGCUCGAGUCCAACUCUUCAAGCGGGCCUGGGCAUGGUAUGGAGCGAUCACCACCAAACUGGACUUUGGGGGUCAAACGUGCUCAGGCACGGUACCCAUCGUCUAGUGUGGAUCAGUUUAUUAACCUUCUCAAAGGGCAAGGAGUUAACCUGGACGACCGCAGUCUGGAACCAAGGAGGGGAACACACCUCAACUCACGAUCGAUUCACUGAACUGUUCCUCCACGUUUUUGACCACGCUCCAGAAGUCCAGCGACAGGUGUAUUUUAGGAGGUGGGAGGAAACCAGAGAACCCGGAGGAAACCCACAUGGACAUGGGGAGAACAAGCACAGAAACUCCACACAGACUGAAGCCCGAGCUCAGGACUGAAGCGGGGACCCUGGAGCUGUGAGGAGACAACGCUACCCACUGCAUCACCACACUGCUCAUAGAUCCACAGAGUUCCCCUUUUGUAUAGAUGGUAAUGAAUCAAAAACACAACAGCUGUGUAACGCUAAACUGGAAAUCAGCUGUUAUUAUUAUUUAUUUACUGAAUUUAUUUUUUUGAAUUUUGUCAAAGUAAUGAGAGUGUCACAGUUCAGUCCACAUCGACCGCGCUUGAGUUUUGGAAGGAAUGCAACUUAAAAAAAAAACCCAAAAACUCUCUCUAUGUAUAUAUGUAUGUAUGUAAUAAUGCAAAGUGUAAUAGAAAAAUCAUUUACUUGUAACUGUCACGUCUUCAUUCUGGUCUUAGCUGUAAAUAGAUGCGUGUGAAUUUCACACCUUUUUCUGCUGUCCCUCAUAUAAAAUGCAGGAAGUGAAG